Long non-coding RNA from Mus musculus (house mouse), 467 nucleotides. RefSeq annotates it as predicted gene, 51651. Lineage: Eukaryota; Metazoa; Chordata; Mammalia; Rodentia; Muridae. The record is from RefSeq and is a predicted model, not a curated record. The transcript has 3 exons.
GGUUACAGCAGGAAUGGCAAUUUAAGGUGUGAGACUUCCAGGGUCUCUGAGAUUGUCAAGGAUCCUCUGGAAAUGUCACCACUAAAAGCCAGAGAGCUACAGGAAAUGGACUAAAGCCAGCAGAUUGGGAGAAGAUGGAGAAGGCUCCACACACGGUCCCUCUUGAGAUGCCUGAGACGAUCAAACAAACCACUGCCUGGAUUGAACCAGUGACUCGGGAGUGAGAAAGAGCAAGUGGAAUCAAGAGAUACUUUGGUGGCAUGCAAAGCAGAAGCAGCAAGUGGGAAUGAGAGACAGAGAGGCAGGCACCCGGGAAGAAGGCAGCCAGAGGCUGGGGUCUGAAGCAGCGCAAGCCAGCGGGAGCGAUGCUGAUCUGAGACGACAGUUCUGACACACGUGAAGGAUAUCUAGAUCCUGUUCGUUGAGUAUAUAUGAAGCAAGGAAUUCCUACCAUGUACACAGCAGAG